GGCGCAGCAUGGUCGAAACUUCUGCAAUGCGCGAAAGCGCGACAGAGCCAUCCCGAGUGCCAUCCGCUGAGGGUGGCUUUUCCCCAGUGCAAAAAGCUGGGGGAAUAAGGGGGGGGCAAGUCGGGUGUCAGCCGCCGCGGUAAUACCCGCUCCCCGAGUGGUGGGGACGAUUAUUGGGCUUAAAGCGCCCGUAGCCGUCCCUGUGUGUUUCGUGUUAAAUCCGACGGCCUAACCGUCGGUGUGCAUGAAAUACUGCAGGGAUAGGAGGCGGGAGAGGUCGCCGGUACUCCUAGGGUAGGGGCAAAAUCCUCUGAUCCUGGGAAGACCACCAGUGGCGAAGGCGGGCGGCCAAAACGCGCUCGACGGUGAGGGGCGAAAGCUGGGGGAGCGAUCCGGAUUAGAUACCCCCGUAGUCC
This 416-nucleotide ribosomal RNA is filed under the name uncultured archaeon. RNAcentral's name for it is "partial 16S ribosomal RNA". It matches the Rfam family "Archaeal small subunit ribosomal RNA", at positions 329 to 747 of the family's 1478-position model. The record is from RNAcentral.